RNAcentral lists this long non-coding RNA (511 nucleotides) under Lathyrus oleraceus (garden pea). RNAcentral's name for it is "Pisum sativum (pea) long non-coding RNA (PSAT_LNC027588)". Lineage: Eukaryota; Viridiplantae; Streptophyta; Magnoliopsida; Fabales; Fabaceae. The record is from RNAcentral.
UAAAAUUCAAAGAGAUAAAAGAGACUUGAAAGAAACUGCGGGAGUUGAAUUUAUAAAAUAUUUCAUUCACUUGAACAACUCUAUAGAAAUUGUUUUCUCUUCUCCUUCCUUUUUUUAUACAUUUUCAUUUUUUUUAGAAGGAAUAUGUAUUGACAUGUAUUGACAUCCUUCUAUUUUUUUCAUUCAUUUUUUUCUUUUCUAUUUUCUUUUUCUAUUUUUUUUCUUUUUCUGCCAACUUCUGAAAUAUUACAAACAUAAUUAUUCAACCUCACACAACUCCAAACAAGACUCUUCAACCCUUUGAAUAGGGUGAUAACAUUGUUUUUCACUUCUCGGCUUGUAAUGAGUUUUAAACAAAAAAGGGAGAAUAGGCUCAAGGGGGUUUCAAACAAGGGAUGAAAUUAUUUCAGGGUUGGCUUUUUGGCUAACUGGCUAAAAAAACAAAAAAAAAUUAUCUUUAUCAUAUCAGUGUGCACAAGUAAACAACAUCAUCAACAAGAGUCAAUUCAAG